Molecule: ribosomal RNA, 253 nt
Filed under: uncultured bacterium
Lineage: Bacteria
Description: partial 16S ribosomal RNA
Rfam family: Bacterial small subunit ribosomal RNA
Source: RNAcentral
UACGUAGGGUGCGAGCGUUGUCCGGAAUUAUUGGGCGUAAAGGGCUCGUAGGCGGCCUGUCGCGUCGGAUGUGAAAGCCCGGGGCUUAACCCCGGGUCUGCAUUCGAUACGGGCAGGCUAGAGUGUGGUAGGGGAGAUCGGAAUUCCUGGUGUAGCGGUGAAAUGCGCAGAUAUCAGGAGGAACACCGGUGGCGAAGGCGGAUCUCUGGGCCAUUACUGACGCUGAGGAGCGAAAGCGUGGGGAGCGAACAGG